UGUAGGACUUGCUUCCACUGAGAAGAUAGUGGCGAACGGGUGAGUAACACGUGGGUAACCUGCCCAUAAGAGGGGGAUAACAUCCGGAAACGGGUGCUAAUACCGCAUAGUUUUCUUGAUCGCAUGAUUGGGAAAGGAAAGACGGCCUUUGUGCUGUCGCUUAUGGAUGGACCCGCGGCGUAUUAGUUAGUUGGUGAGGUAACGGCUCACCAAGACGAUGAUACGUAGCCGACCUGAGAGGGUGAUCGGCCACAUUGGGACUGAGACACGGCCCAAACUCCUACGGGAGGCAGCAGUAGGGAAUCUUCCGCAAUGGACGAAAGUCUGACGGAGCAACGCCGCGUGAGUGAAGAAAGGUUUUCGGAUCGUAAAACUCUGUUGUCAGAGAAGAACAAGUUGGAGAGUAACUGCUCCAGCCUUGACGGUAUCUGACCAGAAAGCCACGGCUAACUACGUGCCAGCCGCAGC
Molecule: ribosomal RNA, 468 nt
Filed under: uncultured bacterium
Lineage: Bacteria
Description: bacterial SSU rRNA
Rfam family: Bacterial small subunit ribosomal RNA
Source: RNAcentral